UACGAAGGGGGCUAGCGUUGCUCGGAAUCACUGGGCGUAAAGCGCGCGUAGGCGGCUUUCUAAGUCAGGGGUGAAAUCCUGGAGCUCAACUCCAGAACUGCCUUUGAUACUGGAGAGCUCGAGUCCGGAAGAGGUGAGUGGAACUGCGAGUGUAGAGGUGAAAUUCGCAGAUAUUCGCAAGAACACCAGUGGCGAAGGCGGCUCACUGGUCCGGUACUGACGCUGAGGUGCGAAAGCGUGGGGAGCAAACAGG
RNAcentral lists this ribosomal RNA (253 nucleotides) under uncultured bacterium. RNAcentral describes it as "partial 16S ribosomal RNA". It matches the Rfam family "Bacterial small subunit ribosomal RNA", at positions 524 to 776 of the family's 1533-position model. The record is from RNAcentral.